RNAcentral lists this long non-coding RNA (264 nucleotides) under Mytilus galloprovincialis (Mediterranean mussel). The record is from RNAcentral. Lineage: Eukaryota; Metazoa; Mollusca; Bivalvia; Mytilida; Mytilidae.
GGCUUAUAACCUUGUUAAAUGGGUUCAUAAAAUCAAAAUACAGGCAUAUUUGUUUUCACGAUAAAAUUGUGUUCAACCGACUAGAUUAAAAAGUAAACGCAAAUAUACUGUAUUGAUUUUGUCAACAAGUAAUGAUAUUGCUGUUACUUUGGAAUUCAAAUAUAAAUGUUUAAAGAGGAAUAACUCUCUGUGUUUGCAAUGUCUAUCGAAAGAAUGCAUUUGAAAUUUAAGUGAAAUACGCAACAGUUGUUUAGAUAAGAACAU